AUUGAACGCUGGCGGCAUGCUUUACACAUGCAAGUCGAACGGCAGCACGGGCUUCGGCCUGGUGGCGAGUGGCGAACGGGUGAGUAAUGCAUCGGAACGUACCGUGUAAUGGGGGAUAACGUAGCGAAAGUUACGCUAAUACCGCAUACGAUCUAUGGAUGAAAGCGGGGGAUCGCAAGACCUCGCGCGAUUGGAGCGGCCGAUAUCAGAUUAGGUAGUUGGUGGGGUAAAGGCCCACCAAGCCAACGAUCUGUAGCUGGUCUGAGAGGACGACCAGCCACACUGGAACUGAGACACGGUCCAGACUCCUACGGGAGGCAGCAGUGGGGAAUUUUGGACAAUGGGCGCAAGCCUGAUCCAGCCAUGCCGCGUGAGUGAAGAAGGCCUUCGGGUUGUAAAGCUCUUUCGGCCGGGAAGAAAUCGCAUGGGUCAAUACCCUGUGUGGAUGACGGUACCGGAAUAAGAAGCACCGGCUAACUACGUG
This 484-nucleotide ribosomal RNA is filed under the name uncultured bacterium. Its description in RNAcentral is "bacterial SSU rRNA". It matches the Rfam family "Bacterial small subunit ribosomal RNA", at positions 30 to 507 of the family's 1533-position model. The record is from RNAcentral.